GAGUUGGCGCUGCCGCUCGAUUGACGGCGGUGGUAACUGAGAUGGAGUGGGAGUCGAGAGAGAGGGGUGAGGCCGAGCGGCGAUUUCGCCGGUGGUUGAAACUGGAGGGGAUGGCUCCCUCUUUUUCUUUGCGUAUUAUCAGAACUCGAUGUGGCUCGAGUUUGCAGGUAGAGAAGAGAAGAACGGGGGCGGCGAGCUUGAAGGCGGCUCACUGCUUGAUCGAGACGGAGAGAAUGAGAGGAGCCUUGGGACGGCGGCGGCUCACUGCUCUCGCCGGAGGACAGGGGGAGGCGGCGGCGGUUCUUCUCUCCUGGCCAAGGGUGGACCUUGGCGGUGGCCACCCGCAGUUUUAGGCUGACCUCGCACUCAACAACAAUUUCAAGUUACAAUCCGUCUUGAAUUCUGGCUCGAAUGUGACUAUUUCAAACUUUUCAAGUAGGAUUUACAGCUGAAAUCAGGGAGUUAAGAGAGGUAUCUGAGAGGGAUAGGGAGUUGAGCGGCCAGAGAGGCGAGGUGGGCGGCGGCAACCGGGCGUCGCCGACGACCGCUGCUGAUUUGUGCAGCGAAGGAGACGAGCUGGGGGAGUUAAGUCCAGCAGCUCUCCGCCGGAGACUUCGAAUGCAGCAGCAGGGGUUCAAUUAGGUGGGUUCGUUGAAUUCUUGACGGUUUGCUUGUAUUGAGCCCAUGUCGACGUUGGGAACUGAUUGGGUUUUACCGCUGGAUUGAAUUGAUUUGGCUAUAUGAAAAUUCUUAUUUUUGUUCGAGUGAAUCCAUUCCAGCCCAGCGACACUGCCGCAUCUCCUAAGGUGCUGCCGAUGUCGACGUAAUUUAUUCGGGACUGUGGGAGCUGUGAAGGAGUGAGUGAGUUUUGCAGUAGGGAGGAAGCAGGAGAGAAAUCUCUGUAGAGGUUUUGGGCUCUGUAGCAACGACUAGCUUGGGAGAGAGAGAGCAGAGAAGUAACAAGAUAAAAAAGGUUUAGCGGCUUCACUUCAUCUGCUGCGUUGUAUUUGUCGAUUGUAUCUCGUCAUUGUUCGUCGAUUCAGUGUCUGAUUUUGUGGAGUUGCCAAAGGAUUAGUCAAAAUAUGUCUUAGAUCCUUGUAUCUAUUCUUCGUGUAAAAGUCCAGAAGAACUUAUGGCUGAAUAUUUAUCAAAACUUCUAUUUGUGUCUCGUA
Salvia miltiorrhiza (redroot sage) is the source of this 1172-nucleotide long non-coding RNA. RefSeq lists it as uncharacterized. Lineage: Eukaryota; Viridiplantae; Streptophyta; Magnoliopsida; Lamiales; Lamiaceae. The transcript has 4 exons. The record is from RefSeq and is a predicted model, not a curated record.